UGGGGAACUUUGGACAAUGGGCGAAAGCCUGAUCCAGCAAUGCCGCGUGUGUGAAGAAGGCCUUCGGGUUGUAAAGCACUUUUGUCCGGAAAGAAAUCCUUGGCUCUAAUACAGUCGGGGGAUGACGGUACCGGAAGAAUAAGCACCGGCUAACUACGUGCCAGCAGCCGCGGUAAUACGUAGGGUGCAAGCGUUAAUCGGAAUUACUGGGCGUAAAGCGUGCGCAGGCGGUUUGCUAAGACCGAUGUGAAAUCCCCGGGCUCAACCUGGGAACUGCAUUGGUGACUGGCAGGCUAGAGUAUGGCAGAGGGGGGUAGAAUUCCACGUGUAGCAGUGAAAUGCGUAGAGAUGUGGAGGAAUACCGAUGGCGAAGGCAGCCCCCUGGGCCAAUACUGACGCUCAUGCACGAAAGCGUGGGGAGCAAACAGGAUUAGAUACCCUGGUAGUCCACGCCCUAAAACGAUGUCAACUAGUUGUUGGGGAUUCAUUUCCUUAGUAACGUAGCUAACGCGUGAAGUUGACCGCCUGGGGAGUACGGUCGCAAGAUUAAAACUUAAAUGAAUUGACGGGGUCAUAGCUG
This 580-nucleotide ribosomal RNA is filed under the name uncultured bacterium. Its description in RNAcentral is "partial 16S ribosomal RNA". It matches the Rfam family "Bacterial small subunit ribosomal RNA", at positions 355 to 932 of the family's 1533-position model. The record is from RNAcentral.